ACACGGGGGGCGCAAGCGUUAUUCGGAAUUAUUGGGCGUAAAGGGCGUGUAGGCGGUUUUAUCGGUCAGAUGUGAAAGCCCAGGGCUCAACCCUGGACGUGCAUUUGAAACAGUAAGACUUGAGUACGGUAGAGGAAAGCGGAAUUCCUGGUGUAGAGGUGAAAUUCGUAGAUAUCAGGAGGAACACCGAUGGCGAAGGCAGCUUUCUGGACCGAAACUGACGCUGAUGCGCGAAGGCGUGGGUAGCGAACAGGAUUAGAAACCCGAGUAGUCC
RNAcentral lists this ribosomal RNA (274 nucleotides) under uncultured bacterium. RNAcentral's name for it is "partial 16S ribosomal RNA". It matches the Rfam family "Bacterial small subunit ribosomal RNA", at positions 523 to 796 of the family's 1533-position model. The record is from RNAcentral.